RNAcentral lists this non-coding RNA (263 nucleotides) under Desulfofundulus australicus. The record is from RNAcentral. Lineage: Bacteria; Bacillati; Bacillota; Clostridia; Eubacteriales; Peptococcaceae.
AACUAAAUAUUAGGGGCGGGUCCCCUCGGGGGAUAAUAGGGAAGACCGGGGAGCAGCUAACCUGCUUGAGCCGGCGCGGUCCCGCCACUGUAACCGGGGAGGAGCCGCAAAUUGCCACUGGUUAUAUACUCACUGGAAAGCUAAAAAGAUAUUUUUCAACAAUUUGUUGUGAUUUUACAAUAUUUAUUGUGAGUAUUGACCGGGAAGGCGCGGUUAUCUGAUGAUCCGCGAGCCAGGAGACCUGCCUGCCCCUUAAAACUGAA